ACCGUAGGGGACAAUCGUUAUCCGGAUUUACUGGGCGUAAAGCGCACGUAGGCGGUGAGGUAAGUUGGGUGUGAAAGCUCCCGGCUUAACUGGGAGAGGUCUGACAAAACUGCCUGGCUUGAGGCUGAGAGAGGGGAGCGGAAUUCCCGGUGUAGUGGUGGCAUGCGUAGAUAUCGGGAGGAACACCAGUGGCGAAGGCGGUUCUCUGGCUCAGAACUGACGCUGAGGUGCGAAAGCGUGGGGAGAGAACGGG
RNAcentral lists this ribosomal RNA (253 nucleotides) under uncultured bacterium. Its description in RNAcentral is "partial 16S ribosomal RNA". It matches the Rfam family "Bacterial small subunit ribosomal RNA", at positions 524 to 776 of the family's 1533-position model. The record is from RNAcentral.